Molecule: ribosomal RNA, 446 nt
Filed under: uncultured bacterium
Lineage: Bacteria
Description: bacterial SSU rRNA
Rfam family: Bacterial small subunit ribosomal RNA
Source: RNAcentral
AAUGAACGCUGGCGGCGUGCUUAACACAUGCAAGUCGUGCGCGAUGGUGGCUUCGGCUGCCGGAGAGCGGCGAACGGGUGAGUAACACGUGGGCAAUCUGCCUGGGGGUGUGGGAGUAACCUGGGGAAACGUCGGGCGUAAUACCGCAUACGUUGUCGGGACCUUGGUCCUGCCAAGAAAGCUGGCCUCUGUUUACAAGCUAGCGCUCCCAGAGGAGCCCGCCGCCUGANAGCUAGUUGGUGAGGUAAUGGCUCACCAAGGCGACGAUCAGUAGCCGGCCUGAGAGGGUGAUCGGCCACACUGGAACUGAGACACGGUCCAGACUCCUACGGGAGGCAGCAGUGGGAAUAUUGGACAAUGGGCGAAAGCCUGAUCCAGCAACGCCGCGUGAGUGAUGAAGGCCGUUAGGGUUGUAAAGCUUCCGUUUUACCCGGGAUGAUAAUGAC